GGGCAUAGUACCUGCUGUGUAGAUACAUUUUCUGCCCCGAAUACAUUAGCAUGGGAUAAUGGAAUAGGACCCUGUCCUCCUAUUUUCAGUUGGUUUUGGCAGCGCGAGGACUAGGGUAAUGAUUAAUAGGGAUAGUUGGGGGCAUUAAUAUUUAAUUGUCAGAGGUGAAAUUCUUGGAUUUAUGAAAGAUUAACUUCUGCGAAAGCAUCUGCCAAGGAUGUUUUCAUUAAUCAAGAACGAAAGUUAGGGGAUCGAAGACGAUCAGAUACCGUCGUAGUCUUAACCAUAAACGAUGCCGACCAGCGAUUAGGAGACGUUGAAUACAAAACACCACCAUCGGCGCGGUCGUCCUUGGCGUCGGUCCUUCGGGGCCGGCGCGAGGGGGGCUUAUCCCGGUGGGGCCGGUGAAUGAGUCCCUAUCCCUUUGUUGAGAAAA
RNAcentral lists this ribosomal RNA (436 nucleotides) under Acanthamoeba sp. BN-51-T4. Its description in RNAcentral is "bacterial SSU rRNA". The stretch from base 1 to 365 matches the Rfam family "Eukaryotic small subunit ribosomal RNA", at positions 782 to 1115 of the family's 1831-position model. Lineage: Eukaryota; Discosea; Longamoebia; Acanthamoebidae. The record is from RNAcentral.